Molecule: unclassified non-coding RNA, 499 nt
Filed under: Hevea brasiliensis (rubber tree)
Lineage: Eukaryota; Viridiplantae; Streptophyta; Magnoliopsida; Malpighiales; Euphorbiaceae
Source: RNAcentral
CUAUAAAUAAAAUCAUCUACAUAGAUUCACCAUCAUCUUGCUUCUGAUGCCUCUAUAUGCUAGGCUGGAAAAAUACAAUAUGAACGUAAGAUUCAUGUUGAGUGAUCCCAAAAUUAUUUGGCAUGGCCGGAGAUAUAGUGCCUUGCCCACUCAACCUACAAAAUUAAACCUUUGUGUUGCAUUUUUUAACAUAGUAAAGAAGCCUGUUUUGGUGUUUCAUGUUUGGAUUAGAUGUUCACACAGUAUACCCUUAUAGCUAUAGAGAAUGCAUAUAAAACCUAACAUAAAAACAGCGCAGCACUUUAGCUGAGAUGGCACAACUAAUGAAUAUAGAACACCAAAACAUCCACACAACUAAUAAGUGAACAUGAAAGAAUAAUUCAUAAAAAUGUAAAAACGUACAGAAGAUUAAGAUUUUAACAAUACAAGUUAAAUGAAAGACAAAUAAUGAAAUAUGAAAAUAUUUUAACAAUUACCCAUCUGUGCAUAUGAUAGGAAG